ACUCCUACGGGAGGCAGCAGUGGGGAAUAUUGCACAAUGGGGGAAACCCGUAGCAUGCAGCCAUGCCGCGUGUGUGAAGAAGGCCUCGGGUUGUAAAAGCACUUUCAGUAGGGAGGAAGGUAGUGUAGUUAACACCUGCACUAUUUGACGUUACCUACAGAAGAAGCACCGGCUAACUCCGUGCCAGCAGCCGCGGUAAUACGGAGGGUGCGAGCGUUAAUCGGAAUUACUGGGCGUAAAAGCGCAUGCAGGCGGCCUGUUAAGUCAGAUGUGAAAG
RNAcentral lists this ribosomal RNA (277 nucleotides) under uncultured bacterium. Its description in RNAcentral is "partial 16S ribosomal RNA". It matches the Rfam family "Bacterial small subunit ribosomal RNA", at positions 335 to 600 of the family's 1533-position model. The record is from RNAcentral.